CAAAAACCUGCACAUAGAUGUUUAUAGCAGCUUUAUUCAUAAUUUAUCCAAAACUUGGAAACAAGAUGUCUUUCAGUAGGUAAGUGGAUAACUGUGGUACUUCUGAAUAAUGGAAUGUUAUUUAGAGUUAAAAAGAAAUGCAUUCACUUUGGGAGGCCGAAGUGGGUGGAUUGCUUGAGGCCAGGAGUUUGAGACCAGCCUGGUCAACAUGGGAAAACCCCAAUUAGCCGGGCAUAGUGGCGUGAGCCUGUAAUCCCAGCUACUCGGGAGGCUGAGAUAUGAGAAUCGUUUGAACCUGGGAGAUGGAGGUUGCAGUGAGCCAGUGCCACUGCACUUCAGCCUGGGCAACAGAGCAAGACUCCUCUGUCUCAAAAAAAAAAAAAAAAAGAAAGAAAAGAAAAAAGAAAAAGAAAAAGAAAAGAAACGAUCAAGCCAUGAAAACACAUGAAGGAAACUUAAAUGUAUGUUACUAAAAAGCCAACCUGAAAAGACUGCAUACUAUAUGACUCCAACUGAUGCAGGGCAAGCAAGCCAAAAACAAACAAGACCUGGAUUUUCUGGGCUUCCCAGACUUCCACAUCUAGACUUGCUUUAAAUGGGAGAGAAAUAAACUUGUUUCAGCCACUGUCAUUUUGGGCUAUUUUAUAGAACUUAAUCUAAUCUUCAAGGGUACAUGAAUUGCUUUUCCUUAAAAAAAAAAUCAGCCAUAAAAUCAUCUUCUUUUUUCUUUUGUUCCCCACAUUAUUUAGUUGGAGCUCUGUAACUUUUUUUUUUUUUUUUUUUGAGACAAGGUCUUGCUCUGUCACUUAGGCUGGAAUUCAGUGGCAUGACCAUGGCUCACUGCAGCCUUGCCCUCCUAGGCUCAAGCAAUCCUCGUCUCAGCCUCCUGAGUAGCUGAAACUAAGGCACAUGCCACCAUGCCCAGCUAAUUUCUUUUCUUUUAGAGAUGGGAGCCUUGCCCAGGCUAGUCUCAAACUCCUAGCCUCAAGUGAUCCUCCCAUCUCAGCCUCCCAAAGUGACAGGAUUACAGGUGUGAGCCACCAUGCCUGGCUGCUCUGUAAGUGUCUGAAUUUCAUUUUGUAUUUAUCAGUCUGUUUAGAUUUUCUUUCCCUUCUUGGGUCAGUUAGGCCAUUGGUUUCUUUUUAAAGGUUUUCAAAUUUAUUUGCAUCUAAUUCUUCAAAUUACUCUCAAAAUUAUUCCAGUAUAUAUUCUUUUGUUCCUAUUUUCUUCUGUAUUCUUUAUUAAAAUAGCUAAUGAUUUAUCUAGCAGGACUUAUAUUCUUUCCAUAACUUUCCUGCACCCCAAUUAAUCUCCAAUUUUAUAUUUCUUCUGGCCUUCCUUAUAGUUUCCACAGGUUUAUUUUAUUCAUUUUUUAAAACUUUUAUUUAAUUGUUUAUUUUAUUAUCAUUCUUUCUUAUUCAGCAAUCUAAGUGCUUAGGGAUAUAGAAUUUCCUCUAAGCAGCAUAUGCUAGGCUUUAACAAUGUUAGGGAGGCCUCCCCUUUCUGGGGAAGACCACACUUACAUUAACACAGGACUGUGGGAUGCCAAGAGGUAGAGAAGAGCUUAUGAAUAUCCAGAUUACAUCUUCACUGAUCCUGCACAAAGGUGGGGUUCCUCGGUUACCCACUGGGUCCUAUUACCCAAGUCUGGGUCAGCAUACCGAGACUACGGGUAUAUAGAACAAGUGCAACUGGCGAUAAUCCUUCUGUUGGGGAGAAAAAUCUUUUUUUUCUAUUCAUCUUAGGUUCUCCAUCUGUGGCCCUAUCAAGUAGACUAACAAAAGACAGAUUGACAAGACAGAAACAAAGCAUGUGCAUUGUACAAACACAGGGGAGUACUGAGAUGAAUACUCAAAAGAGGAUUUAGAACUUGGGCUUAUAUAGCAUUUUAAGAAAAGAAUACAUUUUUUAAGUGACAAGGAAGACGAAAAGGACUUUGAGUUUCUAGUGCAGUAAAUUGUGGGAAGGCAACUUUUUCUUUCCCUUUUUUUUUUUUUUUUUUUAAAAAAAAAGACUUCUCUGGUGCUAUGUCCAGGCUGAUAAGAGUCUAAAGUCUCUGGUGACUAACUUUUGUUCUUCCCCGAGUAAGAAGACACCUUCACAAUUUCAUAUCCUGCUUUUAGGCAAAUAGGGAGAGGGCAGAGGUGUUUGUUUGUUUUUAAUCUAUUUUUUUUCUCAAUUGUCUUCAACUCAAAAUACUUCUUAUGCCAAAGAUGGCAUAUUCUGCUACCCUUCACUUACUACUUACAACCCAGCCUCUAU
This 2262-nucleotide long non-coding RNA is filed under the name Homo sapiens (human). RNAcentral describes it as "HSALNT0102810". The record is from RNAcentral. Lineage: Eukaryota; Metazoa; Chordata; Mammalia; Primates; Hominidae.